RNAcentral lists this unclassified non-coding RNA (237 nucleotides) under uncultured fungus. RNAcentral describes it as "sequence contains ITS1". The record is from RNAcentral. Lineage: Eukaryota; Fungi.
GUAUUGUAUUGCGUUAGACGCGGUAAACAUUCCAUAAGACUUUUCUACAGUGUAUGUGUAAAGACGCAGAACUACAGGAGGAAGACGGCAUGUCCCCCAGACCAUAGAACUACGGAGUGUGCACAGGUGUGAGUGGAUGUGUUAACAGAGCGUGCACAUGCCCCCCGUUUGAGGGGGCCAGCAACAACUCGUGUCGACGACUCGGUAAUGAUCCUUCCGCAGGUUCACCUACGGAAA